GCUCGGGUGGUGAAAUGGCAGACACGUCAGCUUGAGGUGCUGAUGGGCGCAAGCCCUUGGAGGUUCGAGUCCUCUCCCGAGCACCA
RNAcentral lists this transfer RNA (86 nucleotides) under Verrucomicrobiota bacterium. RNAcentral describes it as "Verrucomicrobia bacterium (microbial mat metagenome) tRNA-Leu". It matches the Rfam family "tRNA". Rfam says of the family: Transfer RNA (tRNA) molecules are approximately 80 nucleotides in length. Their secondary structure includes four short double-helical elements and three loops (D, anti-codon, and T loops). Further hydrogen bonds mediate the characteristic L-shaped molecular structure. tRNAs have two regions of fundamental functional importance: the anti-codon, which is responsible for specific mRNA codon recognition, and the 3' end, to which the tRNAs corresponding amino acid is attached (by aminoacyl-tRNA synthetases). tRNAs cope with the degeneracy of the genetic code in two manners: having more than one tRNA (with a specific anti-codon) for a particular amino acid; and 'wobble' base-pairing, i.e. permitting non-standard base-pairing at the 3rd anti-codon position. Lineage: Bacteria; Pseudomonadati; Verrucomicrobiota. The record is from RNAcentral.